RNAcentral lists this transfer RNA (73 nucleotides) under Marmota monax (woodchuck). It matches the Rfam family "tRNA". Rfam says of the family: Transfer RNA (tRNA) molecules are approximately 80 nucleotides in length. Their secondary structure includes four short double-helical elements and three loops (D, anti-codon, and T loops). The record is from Rfam by way of RNAcentral. Lineage: Eukaryota; Metazoa; Chordata; Mammalia; Rodentia; Sciuridae.
GGGGAUGUAGCUCAGUUGGUAGAGUGUUUUCCCCGAAUGCACAAGGGCCUGGGUUCAGUCCCCAGCACCACCA